This 1803-nucleotide long non-coding RNA is filed under the name Sus scrofa (pig). RNAcentral's name for it is "lncRNA (ENSSSCG00005024605.1)". The record is from RNAcentral. Lineage: Eukaryota; Metazoa; Chordata; Mammalia; Artiodactyla; Suidae.
AUAUUGUUGUUUAAGAUUGCAGUCAACACUUUUACAUUUGCUACUAAGUGUAAAAUACAAGAAAAUGCAUUCACGGUUGUUCCAUUUGUCUUAUUGUUCAACUCUUCAAGAAAGCACUGAAAUCAAAAUAAUUGUGUUUCUCAUCUUGUUCUGGUCCCCUGUGGAGGUAAUCUGAGAAAGUUCCUUGGAGUUCAUUAGAAGUGCUACAUUUUCGAGAAGUUUGUCAAAAUGCAGAAGAAAUAAGUAAAGGAAGAAGUGAUUUUUUUAAAAAGAGCAAAUGUUUUCUUCAUUCUAACUCUCUUCUAGAAUAUUUUUGAAGGUUUUAAAUGUACAAAAUCUUUGCACUUCCCAUAAUUAUAAGAUGGAAAUUUUAGGGUAGCCUGAAAUUCUUCAGUGAACUCUUAAACUUAAACUUAAACUUAACUCUUAAACAUUAACUCUGAACCUUUCUAACAGGCUUAGAUUUUAUUAAGAAUAAAGAUAUGGAUGUGUGUCUUUCCCAGACCUAUGCUUAAAAUAGCCCUUGAUAGCCCUCAGUCUGUAGUGUGUUUCUGUUGGAUAGAUGGCCCAGAAUCAAGGUCUUGUGAAUGCAUACAAACACCCUAAUAAAGCUUAGGAGUGUUGGAGUCCCCCCAGCUCCACCAAAGCCCUGCUGUUAGGUCUUCAAGGCAGAUGCAAAGUCAUAUGAGUUACUCUUGGAGUUUCCUGGUGGCCUAGCAAUUAAGGAUCUGGCAUUGUCACUGCUGCAGCCUCGGUCACUGCUGUGGCAUAGGCUCAACCCCUGGCCUGGGGAACUUCUUGACAUUUUUAUGGGGUCUCCACAUAAAACCCUCAAGUCCACUGUCUAACCCUGAAAAUACCCUAGGUCUUCCCAGCUCAGGUCAGACCAACCCUCUGCCAGCUCCAACCACAUAGACCAGGUGGGAGGGGCCAAAGUGUUUCACAUAAGAUGUCCCUCAACUCUGGCCUCAGUGGUCCAGUGGGAGCUCAGGUCCAGCACCUUGCAUGUACUCCUUCCUGCCUGGGUAACUCAGGAUCUGGCCACCACCACCUGCUUUGAGACCAUCAGUCUCAUCCUGCCCUUCAUCCUUUCUUGACUGAGUUAGCUCAGUCAAGAAACCCAGGCUUUCCAGGUCACCUUGCAAGCUCUCAUCCCAAGUAGUUCUUCAUAUUCCUUUUUAUUUCUCCAUUUCCACUCCCCCAACUUCUGAAACACUUCCUCUGUGCCCUCUGAUAUUCACACCAACAAAACAUCCUCCAUCCUCAUUCUUCUCUGCAAGUCCUCUUUCCUUUCCUUUCCUUUCCUUCCUUCCUUCCUUCCUUCCUCUCUCUUUCUUUCAGGGCCCCAUCUGCAGCAUAUGGAGGUUCCCAGGCUAGGGGUUGAAUCGGAGCUACAGCUGCCGGCCUACGCCACAGCCAUAGCAACACAGGAUCCCAGCCUUGUCUGUGACCUACGCCACAGUUCAUGGGAAUAGCAGAUCUUUAACCAGCUGAGCAAGGCCGGGGACUGAACCCGAACCCUCAUGGAUACUAGUUAGUAAUGAACCCAACUAGUAUCCAUGAGGACCUGGGUUUGAUCCCUGGCCUUGUUCAGUGGGUCUGGGAUCUAGCAUUGCCAUAAGGUAUGGUGUAGUUCGAAGAUUUGGCUCAGAUCCUGCAUUGCUGUGGCUAUGGUGUAGGCCAGCAGCUGCAGCUCCAAAUUGACCCCUAGCCUAGGAACUUGCAUAUGCUGCAGAUGCGGCCCUAAAAAGUAGAAAGAAAGAAGGAAGGAAAGGAAAGAAGGAAAGAAGGAAAGAAGGAAAG